UCCCUGGUGGCUCAGACAGUAAAGCAUCUGCCUACAAUGCAGGAGAUAGUACGUAGGUUCGAUCCUGCCUACAGAG
Molecule: transfer RNA, 76 nt
Filed under: Ovis aries (sheep)
Lineage: Eukaryota; Metazoa; Chordata; Mammalia; Artiodactyla; Bovidae
Rfam family: tRNA
About the family: Transfer RNA (tRNA) molecules are approximately 80 nucleotides in length. Their secondary structure includes four short double-helical elements and three loops (D, anti-codon, and T loops). Further hydrogen bonds mediate the characteristic L-shaped molecular structure. tRNAs have two regions of fundamental functional importance: the anti-codon, which is responsible for specific mRNA codon recognition, and the 3' end, to which the tRNAs corresponding amino acid is attached (by aminoacyl-tRNA synthetases). tRNAs cope with the degeneracy of the genetic code in two manners: having more than one tRNA (with a specific anti-codon) for a particular amino acid; and 'wobble' base-pairing, i.e. permitting non-standard base-pairing at the 3rd anti-codon position.
Source: Rfam by way of RNAcentral